RNAcentral lists this ribosomal RNA (774 nucleotides) under uncultured Neocallimastigales. RNAcentral's name for it is "partial large subunit ribosomal RNA". It matches the Rfam family "Eukaryotic large subunit ribosomal RNA", at positions 23 to 646 of the family's 3401-position model. The record is from RNAcentral. Lineage: Eukaryota; Fungi; Neocallimastigomycota; Neocallimastigomycetes; Neocallimastigales.
AGAGAGAGACAUGCGCGCAUAUCAAUAAGCAGAGGAAAAGAAACUAACUAGGAUUCCCUCAGUAACGGCGAGUGAAGCGGGAAGAGCUCAAAUUUGAAAUCUUAAAGGUUUCCCUUGACGAAUUGUAGUUUAAAGAAGUGUUUUCUGUUGGAGUUUUGGUAAAAGUUCUUUGGAAUAGGACAUCAUAGAGGGUGAGAAUCCCGUAUUUGACCAUUACUUUCAGCUUUGUGAUACACUUUCAAAGAGUCGGAUUGUUUGGGAAUGCAGUCCAAAAUGGGUGGUAAAUUUCAUCUAAAGCUAAAUAUUGGCGAGAGACCGAUAGCGAACAAGUACCGUGAGGGAAAGAUGAAAAGAACUUUGAAAAGAGAGUUAAACAGUACGUGAAAUUGUCAAAAGGGAAGCGUUUGACACCAGUGCUGUUUUCUCGAAAAUCAAUUAAAAGAACUGAUUUAUGCUAGCUGUAUUAGACUUUAUCAGCUAACUGUUUAGUUUGAUCUUUUCUUUAAUGCACUUUUCAGUUAACAAGUCAACAUCAAUUUCUUUUGUUGUAAAAGGGUCAUUGGAAGGUGGCUUUCUUUUCGGAGAAAGUGUUUAUAGCCUUUGGCCUCUGCAAUCGGAGAGAUUGAGGUCUGCAGCGUAGAUCCUUCGGGGUUAGAUACAUUUGUGCUAAGUUAUAGCUUUUAUAGACAACUUGUUGACUAUGAUUAGUCAUUGUAGCUUACUCGCUUAUGUUAUUUUACCUACGCUUAGGAUGUUGAUGUGAUACUGCGAGCA